CCUACGGGAUGCAGCAGUGAGGAAUAUUGGACAAUGGGCGCGAGCCUGAACCAGCCAAGUAGCGUGAAGGAUGAAUGCCCUACGGGUUGUAAACUUCUUUUAUAAAGGAGUAAAGUGAGGCACGUGUGCCUGUUUGUAUGUACUUUAUGAAUAAGGAUCGGCUAAUUCCGUGCCAGCAGCCGCGGUAAUACGGAGGAUCCGAGCGUUAUCCGGAUUUAUGGGGUUUAAAGGGAGAGUAGAUGGGUUGUUAAGUCAGUUGUGAAAGGUUGCGGCUCAACCGUAAAAUUGCAAUUGAAACUGGCAGUCUUGAGUACAGUUGAGGUAGGCGGAAUUCGUGGUGUAGCGGUGAAAUGCUUAGAUAUCACGAAGAACUCCGAUUGCGAAGGCAGCUUACUAAACUGCCACUGACAUUGAUGCUCGAAAGUGUGGGUAUCAAACAGGAUUAGAUACCCCAGUAGUC
Molecule: ribosomal RNA, 460 nt
Filed under: uncultured bacterium
Lineage: Bacteria
Description: partial 16S ribosomal RNA
Rfam family: Bacterial small subunit ribosomal RNA
Source: RNAcentral